This 2866-nucleotide small RNA is filed under the name Rattus norvegicus (Norway rat). Its description in RNAcentral is "uncharacterized LOC103691162". The record is from RNAcentral. Lineage: Eukaryota; Metazoa; Chordata; Mammalia; Rodentia; Muridae.
GGAGUGUUCCUCUUUCUCCACAGAGGAUGCUCAUAUUACUGCUGACCAGGAAGCGGGGAGCAUAGGAUCAGAUCAGCAGCUUCCCCCACCCCUAUAAGAUCUCUAACCCCCUGAAGCAGCUCUCCUGGCUGGGAAUAAACCCUCUAAGCAUGAACCCCUGGUCUGCUUACAUUUUAGAUUUAGACCAUGCAUUGUUUAAACAAAGGUCUUCUUACAAGAGAGCACUCCCUUUAAUCACAUCCCAUUUCUAUGUGAACACAGUGAACAUGCAUGCAGUGGACCUUCAGAGUGCUUUCUUGUUAAAGUCAUUCUUCUAAUCAAAUUGUACUGCCGUUGGCUGUACUGAUGUUCUCCUGGAGGGAUGGGGCACUUUCAUGCUAUGAAAGCGUCUUCUAAAGCGGCAGUCAAGAGAAUGAUUUUAUUAGCUAGAGAACAGGCUCUAGUUUCUGAAAAACUUAUGACAAUAUUCCGUUUAAAUCAGCUGUUUUUUACACCUUUGGGUGGUAUCCAAAACAGAAAUAAAUAAUAAUACUCAAACUGGAAAACAUCUUUAUCUAUUAAUGCCCCAAGAAUCGAAUAAAGGCUAUCUUCCUCUCUAUGAAUGAACCCCUCUGGGAAUCAACAAUGGAUGAUAAAUUUAGCCAUUACUGAAGUGUGUAUAUUGCUUCCUCUCACACUUUGAUGUGUUUUUUUAUGUCCGAUUAUUUUACAUAUUUUAAAACUCCAAAUAAGACAGAAGUGGUAUUGCAGGCUUUUAACUCCAUCACUUGGAGGAAGAUGUCCGUAGAUGUCUGAGUUCAAGGGCAGCCUCAUCCACACAGCAAGUUACAAGGCAGGCAUAGUCACAUGUUGAGAUCCAGGCCUAGAAAAUGGUUUACAAUGAUUUCUUGCACAUAUGAAAUGUCAUUUUAAAAUAUGAUUACAUGAAGCGUAAGGUGAUAUUUUAUGUCUGGAUACAUUGUGGAAGAAGUAAAUUAACACAUUCUCUAUCUCCACUGUUCUCCUCAGAGUAUGGCUGGCAGAUGGACUUACCCAGAACAUUAGAAAAUGUCUACUUCUGGGCCCUUUACUUCUCUUGUGUGGUGAACCUAAAACGUCCUACACAAACACAGUGAACCCAUUAUUUGUGGGAAAAUCAAGAGUGGUGUUAACAAAGAAGGUGUCAAUCAAUAGGUUCUGAGAAAGGCCCAUGUCAGGGCAGAUGCUUGGAAUGGUAUUAUGCCACUCUCACUGGAGAGUGACUAUUUUCCAGUCAUUUACGGAAACCACUCUAGUGAGGUGAUGUUAGCAUUAUGGAGUUUAGCAAGAUGGUGUUUUCAAACUUUUGAAACCUUGAUAUUGGAUCUACAGCUCAGACGUCAGCAAGCACAGCAGUCAGUGUGAAUGGGACUCUCUACAGUCAUGACAGUCCCCAGCCAUGGCGCCUUUCCCCCUGCUGCCUCCUGCCUGUAGGUAUGAACCUCCUGCCUGGGGCAUCAUCUUGAACACUUUGCUCCUGAAAACCACUAGGCUAAUGCAGUAGAGAAGACUUUCUUCUUGCAAGGUCUCAACAGGAAUCCCUUUAUGCUCAUAGCAUCCUUUGGACAUACCUGGAUUGCAACACAGCUUGUGUGCUGUUAUAUUCACAGCCUCUGCAAAUUAUCAGCAACUUGAAGCCAGGUUCUGGUCCUUUUUUAAAUCUCUGUCACUCUCAUAUCUUGAAUAAUGCCUGGUAGGUAGAGACACCCUCAAAAUAUCUGUGCUGAAUGGGCAAACGAAAGAAGGAGCAACUGAUACAUCCUUAGCUGGGCAGGAAGGAGAAUGAGGUGGGUGGACAGACAUGCUGCGCAUGCUCACGCCAGUGAUUCCCAAAGAAGAGAGGCAGGAAAAAAUGGAAAGACAGACUGAAGGAUUCUUCCAUCUGGAGUUUAAUUCAUUCUGAGCACCAAGGAAUGAAAACAGCCUGAGGUGCCCAGUGGCAGCAGACUUUGUAAAGAACAGCUGCUGGAUGAAGCAAUUAUUCCUGGAACUUCCAAGUCGUAACCUCAGAUCCACAGGACCUGAAAAUCUGCCAUGGAUACACCGGGCCAGCAGUGAUGAAGGUCUCCAUAUUCCUAUAGGCAAAACCCUCUGCCUUGGUCCACCUGGAAGUACAGCCUGUCUGUCAGCUCAACCCACCAUGCUACAUCUUCAAGCAUCCCAGCUUUCCUAAGCCAAAGAAUUACCAAGAACAUAUUGGUAUCAGCAUACAGAGGUGUGUUGGUAUGAAUGUGUCCUAGAAAUGGAGGAAACCCACAAAGGAGGAACGGGAUGGCACGUGUGCACGCUACUGCAGGAGGUGAGAGUUCAUCUCAGCAUGCAAGAUCCUCCUGGAGCCCUGCUGCACUUGGAAUCUCCUGCAUGCCCCAACCUCUGGGUGAGGCAUCCUGAAUCAGGCACAGCUUGGGGAAUGUAUUUUAGGCUAUCUUAGUUCCCUGUAUUUUCUGAUUGGGAUCAUGGAAUAGAUUCUGAAAACAAAAACAACAACCACUAAAUCCUAACCUAUUGAAAGGCAGACUAUGAAACUUUUCUGCAGAGUUAGGAAGUCUGACAGUUAAGAUUUAGUUCACAGUUCUCUGUUGGACGGAGAGUGUGGGUAGAUUUCACACAGAGAAGGGGAGCCUAGGGAGGGGGACAGUCUCCCAUAGAGCUAGCAGCACAGUGCCUUGGCCUCAGCCUUGCAGUCAAGGAGUCUUAGAGCAAAUGUGUUAACAUCUUGCAGGUACAGAGAAGUCUACAUGGUGUGGUGAGGCCAGCCCUACCCCCAGGGAGUAAGAGCAAAGCACUCUGGGAGAAUGGACAUGCUGGCAUCUGCCUUCAUCAUCUGAGGCAUUUAGGUUUUUAUUAU